Molecule: ribosomal RNA, 253 nt
Filed under: uncultured bacterium
Lineage: Bacteria
Description: partial 16S ribosomal RNA
Rfam family: Bacterial small subunit ribosomal RNA
Source: RNAcentral
UACGAAGGGGGCUAGCGUUGCUCGGAAUUACUGGGCGUAAAGGGCGCGUAGGCGGACAGUUUAGUCAGAGGUGAAAGCCCAGGGCUCAACCUUGGAAUUGCCUUUGAUACUGGCUGUCUUGAGUACGGGAGAGGUGAGUGGAACUCCGAGUGUAGAGGUGAAAUUCGUAGAUAUUCGGAAGAACACCAGUGGCGAAGGCGACUCACUGGCCUGUUACUGACGCUGAGGCGCGAAAGCGUGGGGAGCAAACAGG